Molecule: ribosomal RNA, 505 nt
Filed under: uncultured bacterium
Lineage: Bacteria
Description: partial 16S ribosomal RNA
Rfam family: Bacterial small subunit ribosomal RNA
Source: RNAcentral
GACGAACGCUGGCGGCGUGCCUAAUACAUGCAAGUAGAACGCACAGUUUAUACCGUAGCUUGCUACACCAUAGACUGUGAGUUGCGAACGGGUGAGUAACGCGUAGGUAACCUGCCUGGUAGCGGGGGAUAACUAUUGGAAACGAUAGCUAAUACCGCAUAAUAUUAAUUAUUGCAUGAUAAUUAAUUGAAAGGUGCAAUUGCACCACUACCAGAUGGACCUGCGUUGUAUUAGCUAGUAGGUGAGGUAACGGCUCACCUAGGCGACGAUACAUAGCCGACCUGAGAGGGUGAUCGGCCACACUGGGACUGAGACACGGCCCAGACUCCUACGGGAGGCAGCAGUAGGGAAUCUUCGGCAAUGGACGAAAGGCUGACCGAGCAACGCCGCGUGAGUGAAGAAGGUUGUCGGAUCGUAAAGCUCGGUUGUAAGAGAAGAACGGGUGUGAGAGUGGAAAGUUCACACUGUGACGGUAGCUUACCAGAAAGGGACGGCUAACUACGUG